CAGCAGUAGCCGCGGGAAUACAGAGGGUGCGAGCGUUAAUCGGAUUUACUGGGCGUAAAGCGUGCGUAGGCGGCUUUUUAAGUCGGAUGUGAAAUCCCUGAGCUUAACUUAGGAAUUGCAUUCGAUACUGGGAAGCUAGAGUAUGGGAGAGGAUGGUAGAAUUCCAGGUGUAGCGGUGAAAUGCGUAGAGAUCUGGAGGAAUACCGAUGGCGAAGGCAGCCAUCUGGCCUAAUACUGACGCUGAGGUACGAAAGCAUGGGGAGCAAACAGGAUUAGAUACCCCCGUAGUCCCUGUCUCUUAUAA
This 304-nucleotide ribosomal RNA is filed under the name uncultured bacterium. RNAcentral's name for it is "partial 16S ribosomal RNA". It matches the Rfam family "Bacterial small subunit ribosomal RNA", at positions 506 to 809 of the family's 1533-position model. The record is from RNAcentral.